UUAAGCUACUAAGAGCACACGGAGGAUGCCUAGGCGCUAGGAGCCGAAGAAGGACGUGGCGAACAACGAAACUGCCUCGGGGAGCUGUAAGCAAGCAUCGAUCCGGGGGUGUCCGAAUGGGGAAACCCGGCUAGGGUAAUACCUAGUCACUCGUAUCUGAAUUCAUAGGAUGCGAAGAGGCAGACCAGGGGAACUGAAACAUCUAAGUACCCUGAGGAAGAGAAAACAAAAGUGAUUCCGUCAGUAGCGGCGAGCGAACGCGGAUUAGCCUAAACCGAAGAGCUUGCUCUUCGGGGUUGUGGGACGUCUCACACGGAGUUACAAAGGUUCAGAUUAGACGAAGAGGUCUGGAAAGGCCCGCCAGAGAAGGUAAAAGCCCUGUAAUCGAAAGUGUGAACCCUCCGAGACGGAUCCCGAGUAGUGCGGGGCACGUGAAACCCCGUAUGAAUCUGCCAGGACCAUCUGGUAAGGCUAAAUACUCCCUAGUGACCGAUAGUGAAGCAGUACCGUGAGGGAAAGGUGAAAAGCACCCCGGAAGGGGAGUGAAAAAGAACCUGAAACCGUGUGCUUACAAGAAGUCAGAGCCCUCUAUAUGGGUGAUGGCGUGCCUUUUGUAGAAUGAACCGGCGAGUUACGUUUGCAAGCAAGGUUAAGCCGAGAAGGUGGAGCCGCAGCGAAAGCGAGUCUGAAUAGGGCGACUAAGUUUGUAGGCGUAGACCCGAAACCGGGUGAUCUACCCCUGUCCAGGGUGAAGGUGCGGUAACACGCACUGGAGGCCCGAACCCACGUACGUUGAAAAGUGCGGGGAUGAGGUGGGGGUAGCGGAGAAAUUCCAAUCGAACUCGGAGAUAGCUGGUUCUCCNGCGCCUUGUGUUAGGGUGAAUUUGGGGCCAUAGCUCAGCUGGGAGAGCGCCUGCCUUGCAAGCAGGAGGUCAGGAGUUCGAUCCUCCUUGGCUCCACCAUAAGAUUUAUCAAUUGAUCCUUGAAAACUGGAUAAANUAGCUAACUCAGGUUAGCGAAGUUACUCACUCGUUGGUCAGUUUUGAGAGUUCAAACUCUCAUGCGUUUGGUGAUGAUGGCGGAGGGGUUCCACUCGUUCCCAUCCCGAACACGACCGUUAAGCCCUCCAGCGCCGAUGGUACUUGGACCGAAGGGUCCUGGGAGAGUAGGACGUCGCCAAGCGCAGCCCAUUUUUGGGUUCACAAAAUCAUAUCUGUUAUGGGCCCUUAGCUCAGCUGGUUAGAGCGCACCCCUGAUAAGGGUGAGGUCGGUGGUUCGAGUCCACUAGGGCCCACCAUAUUUCCCAUAACGUUUGGCAUCACGCCUUGUGUUAGGGUGAAUUUGGGGCCAUAGCUCAGCUGGGAGAGCGCCUGCCUUGCAAGCAGGAGGUCAGGAGUUCGAUCCUCCUUGGCUCCACCAUAAGAUUUAUCAAUUGAUCCUUGAAAACUGGNCUAUGAGCGAUGGGGUGACGCAGCAGGGUAGUGACGCGGGGCGAUGGAAUGCCCCGUCCAAGCAGUGAGGCUGGUGUGUAGGCAAAUCCGCACAUCGUAAGGCUGGGCUGUGAUGGGGAGGGAAAAUUUACAGUACCGAAGGUCAUGAUCUCACACUGCCAAGAAAAGCCUCUAGCCAGGAGAAGGUGCCCGUACCGCAAACCGACACAGGUAGGCGAGAAGAGAAUUCUAAGGCGCGCGGAAGAACUCUCGUUAAGGAACUCGGCAAAAUGACCCCGUAACUUCGGGAGAAGGGGUGCCCCGGUAGAGUGAAUAGCUCGAGGGGGCCGCAGUGAAAAGGCCCAAGCGACUGUUUAGCAAAAACACAGGUCUGUGCGAAGCCGCAAGGCGAAGUAUACGGGCUGACGCCUGCCCGGUGCUGGAAGGUUAAGGGGAGUGGUUAGGGGUUUACCCCGAAGCUAUGAACCGAAGCCCCAGUAAACGGCGGCCGUAACUAUAACGGUCCUAAGGUAGCGAAAUUCCUUGUCAGGUAAAUUCUGACCCGCACGAAUGGCGUAACGACUUGGGCGCUGUCUCAACGAGAGAUCCGGUGAAAUUUUAAUACCUGUGAAGAUGCAGGUUACCCGCGACAAGACGGAAAGACCCCAUGGAGCUUUACUGCAGCUUGAUAUUGGACUUUGAUACGAUUUGUACAGGAUAGGUGGGAGCCUAGGAAGCCGGAGCGCCAGCUUCGGUGGAGGCGCCGUUGGGAUACCACCCUGAUCGUAUCGGAGUUCUAACCUGGUACCGUGAUCCGGUAUGGGGACAGUGUCAGGUGGGCAGUUUGACUGGGGCGGUCGCCUCCUAAAGAGUAACGGAGGCGCCCCAAGGUUCCCUCAGAAUGGUUGGAAAUCAUUCGAAGAGUGCAAAGGCAAAAGGGAGCUUGACUGCGAGACUGACAAGUCGAGCAGGGACGAAAGUCGGGCUUAGUGAUCCGGUGGUACCGCAUGGAAGGGCCAUCGCUCAACGGAUAAAAGCUACCCUGGGGAUAACAGGCUUAUCUCCCCCAAGAGUCCACAUCGACGGGGAGGUUUGGCACCUCGAUGUCGGCUCAUCGCAUCCUGGGGCUGAAGUAGGUCCCAAGGGUUGGGCUGUUCGCCCAUUAAAGCGGUACGCGAGCUGGGUUCAGAACGUCGUGAGACAGUUCGGUCCCUAUCUGUCGUGGGCGUAGGAAAUUUGAGAGGAGCUGUCCUUAGUACGAGAGGACCGGGAUGGACGCACCGCUGGUGCACCAGUUGUUCCGCCAGGAGCACAGCUGGGUAGCUAAGUGCGGACGGGAUAAGCGCUGAAAGCAUCUAAGCGUGAAGCCCCCCUCAAGAUGAGAUUUCCCAGUAUGUAAGACCCCUUGAAGACGACGAGGUUGAUAGGCCUGAGGUGGAAGUGCAGCAAUGUAUGGAGCUGACAGGUACUAAUCGGUCGAGGGCUUAUCCAA
RNAcentral lists this ribosomal RNA (2922 nucleotides) under Paenibacillus phocaeensis. The record is from RNAcentral. Lineage: Bacteria; Bacillati; Bacillota; Bacilli; Caryophanales; Paenibacillaceae.